This 433-nucleotide ribosomal RNA is filed under the name uncultured bacterium. RNAcentral's name for it is "partial 16S ribosomal RNA". It matches the Rfam family "Bacterial small subunit ribosomal RNA", at positions 29 to 507 of the family's 1533-position model. The record is from RNAcentral.
AACGAACGCUGGCGGCAUGCCUAACACAUGCCAGUCGAACGAGACCUUCGGGUCUAGUGGCGCACGGGUGCGUAACGCGUGGGAACCUGCCCUUAGGUUCGGAAUAACUCCCCGAAAGGGGUGCUAAUACCGGAUAAUGUCUUCGGACCAAAGAUUUAUCGCCUUUGGAUGGGCCCGCGUUGGAUUAGCUAGUUGGUAGGGUAAAAGCCUACCAAGGCUACGAUCCAUAGCUGGUCUGAGAGGAUGAUCAGCCACACUGGGACUGAGACACGGCCCAGACUCCUACGGGAGGCAGCAGUGGGGAAUAUUGGACAAUGGGCGAAAGCCUGAUCCAGCAAUGCCGCGUGAGUGAUGAAGGCCUUAGGGUUGUAAAGCUCUUUUACCCGGGAUGAUAAUGACAGUACCGGGAGAAUAAGCUCCGGCUAACUCCGUG